Haliotis rubra (blacklip abalone) is the source of this 812-nucleotide long non-coding RNA. RefSeq lists it as uncharacterized. NCBI's taxonomy places the organism in Eukaryota, Metazoa, Mollusca, Gastropoda, Lepetellida, Haliotidae. The record is from RefSeq and is a predicted model, not a curated record. The transcript has 2 exons.
UGAAUGUGACAGUAGUUGAUUUAUAUGUGAAUGUGACAGUAUUGUUUUGUAUGUGAAAGUGACACUAGUUAUUUUAUAUGUGAAAGUGACAUCAGUUGAUUUGUAUGUGAAAGUGACACUAGUUAUUUUAUAUGUGAAAGUGAAAGCAGUUGUUUUGUAUGUGAAAGUGACACUAGUUAUUUUAUAUGUGAAAAUGACACCAGUUGUUUACAUGUGAAAGCAGUUGUUUAAUAUGUGAAAAUAACACCAGUUGUUUCAUAUGUGAUAGGGCACUAGUUGUUUUGUGUGUGAAAAUGACACCAGUUGUUUUGUAUGCAAAGAGGACUUUAGUUGUUUCAUAUGUGAAAGGGACACUAGUUGUUUCAUAUGUGAAAGGGACACUAGUUGUUUUAUAUGUGAAAAUGACACCAGUCAUUGUGAUUUGUAUGUAAAAAUGAGACAUAUAUUUUCAAAAUGAAUAUGACCUCUGUUGACAUCAGUUGUUUUGGGUCGAUGUUAAACAUAUUUUAUUCUAUUUACACCAUGUGUGUUUCUUGUGAACACCACACUAGUUUUGUGGUGUGUUAUGGAAUAACAGCCUCUUUGCAGGCAAAGUUACUUAUCAGAUAAUAGGGAUAUUGUGGCAUUCAUGAACGUAACCUGUCUUGUACAGAAUUGCCUCCCUUUGAAGUCCCAGAAUGCGAUGGUUACUUUGACAUUGUCAGCACUAUGGUCAUGUUCGUACGAACAGUGACACUUCACUGCCAUGCUGUAAAAUUCUUUGAUAUACCUGAAGUGGUUUUCAGUGCGGAAAUAAAUUGCAAGUUACUUCA